Molecule: ribosomal RNA, 461 nt
Filed under: uncultured bacterium
Lineage: Bacteria
Description: partial 16S ribosomal RNA
Rfam family: Bacterial small subunit ribosomal RNA
Source: RNAcentral
CCUACGGGAGGCAGCAGUGAGGAAUAUUGGUCAAUGGCCGGAAGGCUGAACCAGCCAAGCCGCGUGAAGGACGAAGGUGCCAAGCAUUGUAAACUUCUUUUGUCAAGGGACAAAAUCAGGCUCGAGAGCCUGACCGAGGGUACUUGAAGAAAAAGCAUCGGCUAACUCCGUGCCAGCAGCCGCGGGAAUACGGGGGAUGCGAGCGGUGUCCGGAUUUAUUGGGUUUAAAGGGUGCGUAGGCUGUGAGGUAAGUCAGCGUGGAAAUGCCCCCGCUCAACGGGGUGAAGUGCCAUUGAUACUGCCUAGCUGGAAUGCGGAUGAGGUGGGAAGAAUGUGAGGUGUAGCGGUGAAAUGCAUAGAUAUCACACAGAAUACCGAUUGCGAAGGCAUCUCACGAAUCCGAGAUUGACGCUGAUGCACGAAAGCGUGGGUAUCAAACAGGAUUAGAUACCCUGGUAGUC